RNAcentral lists this ribosomal RNA (390 nucleotides) under uncultured bacterium. RNAcentral's name for it is "partial 16S ribosomal RNA". It matches the Rfam family "Bacterial small subunit ribosomal RNA", at positions 523 to 915 of the family's 1533-position model. The record is from RNAcentral.
AUACGGAGGAUGCGAGCGUUAUCCGGAUUUAUUGGGUUUAAAGGGAGCGUAGGUGGGAUAUUAAGUCAGCUGUGAAAGUUUGGGGCUCAACCUUAAAAUUGCAGUUGAUACUGGUUUCCUUGAGUACGGUACAGGUGGGCGGAAUUCGUUGUGUAGCGGUGAAAUGCAUAGAUAUCACGAAGAACUCCGAUCGCGAAGGCAGCUCACCGGGCCGGAACUGACACUGAUGCUCGAAAGUGCGGGUAUCAAACAGGAUUAGAUACCCUGGUAGUCCGCACAGUAAACGAUGAAUACUCGCUGUUUGCGAUACACGGUAAGCGGCCAAGCGAAAGCGUUAAGUAUUCCACCUGGGGAGUACGCCGGCAACGGUGAAACUCAAAGGAAUUGACG